CGGGACGUGGCGCAGCCUGGUAGCGUACUUGAAUGGGGUUCAAGGGGUCGCGGGUUCGAAUCCCGCCGUCCCGACCA
This 77-nucleotide transfer RNA is filed under the name Thermoplasmata archaeon. Its description in RNAcentral is "tRNA-Pro". It matches the Rfam family "tRNA". Rfam says of the family: Transfer RNA (tRNA) molecules are approximately 80 nucleotides in length. Their secondary structure includes four short double-helical elements and three loops (D, anti-codon, and T loops). Further hydrogen bonds mediate the characteristic L-shaped molecular structure. tRNAs have two regions of fundamental functional importance: the anti-codon, which is responsible for specific mRNA codon recognition, and the 3' end, to which the tRNAs corresponding amino acid is attached (by aminoacyl-tRNA synthetases). tRNAs cope with the degeneracy of the genetic code in two manners: having more than one tRNA (with a specific anti-codon) for a particular amino acid; and 'wobble' base-pairing, i.e. permitting non-standard base-pairing at the 3rd anti-codon position. The record is from RNAcentral. Lineage: Archaea; Methanobacteriati; Thermoplasmatota; Thermoplasmata. RNAcentral also lists the same sequence under 9 other names.